This 755-nucleotide long non-coding RNA is filed under the name Pongo abelii (Sumatran orangutan). RNAcentral's name for it is "lincRNA". The record is from RNAcentral. Lineage: Eukaryota; Metazoa; Chordata; Mammalia; Primates; Hominidae.
UGGUAGCAGAAGAAAACCAAGAGGCCUCUCUACGAAAGCUUGCAGUAAGGAGAAAGUUCUGGAGACUGGGAAGAGCAAUACAAAGAUAUUCAGUUGCUUGGUGAGAGCUGCUCUCUGCUUCCAAGGUGGCACCUUGUUGCUGCAUCCUCCAAUGGGAAGGAACGCUGGGUCCUCACAUGACAGAAGGUGGAAAGGAUGUAAUGAAGUUAUUCCAAGAGUUAGCACCUCUGUAUACUCAAGAUCUCUGUCCAGUGAAUCCCUUGCCAUUCUAAUGGCAUGGGCGAGGCAAUGCCACAGUGUGACUUUUUGCAUCUUCAGAAAGAGCACACACAUAAAGCUUUCAUAAAGCUUUAUUUUCACAAAGCACACAUAAACAGGAAGUCCUGGGAAGAGAAGAUAUUAGCUGUGUCUUUCUACCACCCAGAGGCUUCACCUCUAUCAUGCUUCUAAAAUAAAAUACCAGGUUGAUGUUCUGACCAUGGGCCAUAAACCAGGGUUAAGGAAGCCCAAGGAGAAGACUGGUCUUCUUCCCAAAGCAUCCUCUCUUCUUUAAGGACGCUCCACAGUUUUAGGAUCUCACCAUGAGACAACAUGAGACUCAGCAUCCUCUGCACCCUGCAUGUGAACAGAGAUGCCCGUUUGGCACAAGAAUGGGAGGCAACUAAAACUAACCAGAUAUACUCGGGGACCAGGACUUUAUUUCUCUGAAUCUUAAUUUCCCAUUCUAAGAGGAAAGAAUUAGACACGACUGACCU